Molecule: ribosomal RNA, 227 nt
Filed under: uncultured bacterium
Lineage: Bacteria
Description: partial 16S ribosomal RNA
Rfam family: Bacterial small subunit ribosomal RNA
Source: RNAcentral
AGUAACACGUGAACAACCUACCCUCGAGUGGGGAAUAACACCGCGAAAGCGGUGCUAAAACCGCAUAAUAUCUCUGAAUCGCAUGGUUUUGAGAUCAAAAGCUUCGGUUGCUUGAGGAGGGGUUCGCGCCUGAUUAGCUUGUUGGUGAGGUAACGGCUCACCAAGGCUGCAAUCAGUAGCCGGCCUGAGAGGGUGAACGGCCACACUGGAACUGAGACACGGUCCAG